AAACAAGAAGCAAUAUUGCAACCAGUUUCGACCUGACUUUAGAUGAUAAUUCAUCCUUGUUUA
Molecule: transfer RNA, 63 nt
Filed under: Tympanophyllum maximum
Lineage: Eukaryota; Metazoa; Arthropoda; Insecta; Orthoptera; Tettigoniidae
Description: tRNA-Arg
Source: RNAcentral